RNAcentral lists this long non-coding RNA (1204 nucleotides) under Gossypium barbadense (sea-island cotton). RNAcentral's name for it is "long non-coding RNA (GBAR_LNC010671)". Lineage: Eukaryota; Viridiplantae; Streptophyta; Magnoliopsida; Malvales; Malvaceae. The record is from RNAcentral.
CUGAGAUGCGAACUAGAAUGCAAACAUGCGCAAACUACAGAGCCAAAUUUAAAAAUGAAGUAAAACACAUUAGACGCAAUUGAGUGCUCGUGCGAAAGAGGAGGACCUUACGCGCAAUUAUCCCCUCUCUGCAGAAACGCGCGGAUCCUAGGGGCAAAGAAUCAGAUUGGGUCGGGUUGGCUCUACACGACACCAUUUUGGAGCCACUGAAACAGGCUCGAAACGGCGUCGUAUUUGGUUCUUUAUAAGGGCUAAAACCUAAUCAUUUGGCCAAUAACCCUAGCUUCUUCUUUUAUCCUUCAGCUGAACCCUAAAUCACCACUCAAACUGUCGAUUCUCAUCCCCCAAACAACAACCCACAUAUUCAAGCCUGGGGGAUGACUUUUCAGCCUCGAGAUCUCCUCUUAGCUUUGAUUUCAACAAAGCAAAAGGAAAUCUAUGGCGUAUUUACAAGGUAAGACGCUCUUUCUUUUUUCUCCUUUUUUAUUUUUGCUUUCGAAUAUAAAAACAAAAAAUCCAAAAGAAUGAAGCAAAAAAAAAAAAGUAUCCAGAGAUUUGAAUCGAAAAUCACCUUUCGAUUUUGGUGGCCUUUUAUGUAUUUCAGUAUGCGUAAACUUACAAAGUACAUUCGGUGGCUUUUAUAGCCAUAAAAAUCUGAAUUAAAAAUUAUAAAAAAAUCUAUUUUUUUCUUUUUGCUAUUUUUCAUUGUAUUUUGCUGCUUCUCAUGUAUUCUGUUGCAGGCGUGGUUGUACGGAGGAGAAGACCCUGGUGACGUGGAAGCCGUGCGUGAGGAUCUCUCGUGAGAGGCCGAUCCUCUGGUGCUAUUCUAGUAUAUUCCAGAAGUUUUUGGCGUUCUUAGGCUGCUGAGCUACGAGUCCUUUUUGGGUCUCGGGUUUGGGCCAUUGAAGUCGGGUCUAGGGUUUUAAUAGUUGGGUCAGAUUUUAUGUAAUUGGGUCAUGAGUUAUUUUCGACUAAUGGACUUUAUCAUGUUUUGGAUUUUUAUUUUUGUUGGUUUUAUUUUUGGUUUUGAAUUCUUUUAUUGGGCCCGGAGCUUUGUAAAUGGACAUUGGUCUAUUAUUUAUUUUGAUUUUAUUAUUUUUGUUUUAUUUUUGGUUUUUUAAUUUCUGCUUUUUAUAUUCAAAUGGGCCUGGUCGAAAUAGGCCUAUUACAAUAUCAAUCUUCUUAAUUGACAAAUGUAGUCAGG